Molecule: non-coding RNA, 192 nt
Filed under: Serratia symbiotica SCt-VLC
Lineage: Bacteria; Pseudomonadati; Pseudomonadota; Gammaproteobacteria; Enterobacterales; Yersiniaceae
Description: GcvB RNA
Rfam family: GcvB RNA
About the family: The gcvB gene encodes a small untranslated RNA involved in expression of the dipeptide and oligopeptide transport systems in Escherichia coli. Included several unknown homologues in alignment (Bateman A pers obs).
Source: RNAcentral
UCAGAUCAAGUCGCGACUAAUACAGUUGAGGACAUCGAUGAACUUUUGGCUUGUGGUUAUGAUGUUGUGUUUGCCUCAUGUCCGGUAAUCUGGUCAAGGUAGCUCAUUUACUGUUUUUCAUUUCCUGUAUAUUUAUUCUGUCCUUCCGCAGUGAUUUUAUGCAGCAUCGCUUGAUUUGCAGGGCUUUUUUUC